RNAcentral lists this ribosomal RNA (432 nucleotides) under uncultured bacterium. Its description in RNAcentral is "bacterial SSU rRNA". It matches the Rfam family "Bacterial small subunit ribosomal RNA", at positions 29 to 507 of the family's 1533-position model. The record is from RNAcentral.
AACGAACGCUGGCGGCAGGCCUAACACAUGCAAGUCGAGCGCGCCCUUCGGGGUGAGCGGCGGACGGGUUAGUAACGCGUGGGAAUAUGCCCAGAUCUGCGGAAUAGCCUCUGGAAACGGAGAGUAAUACCGCAUACGCCCUUCGGGGGAAAGAUUUAUCGGAUUUGGAUUAGCCCGCGUUGGAUUAGGUAGUUGGUGGGUAAUGGCCUACCAAGCCGACGAUCCAUAGCUGGUUUGAGAGGAUGAUCAGCAACACUGGGACUGAGACACGGCCCAGACUCCUACGGGAGGCAGCAGUGGGGAAUCUUAGACAAUGGGGGAAACCCUGAUCUAGCCAUGCCGCGUGAGUGACGAAGGCCCUAGGGUCGUAAAGCUCUUUCAGCUGUGAAGAUAAUGACGGUAGCAGCAGAAGAAACCCCGGCUAACUCCGUG